AGAACGAACGCUGGCGGCAGGCUUAACACAUGCAAGUCGAACGCGUGUAGCAAUACACGAGUGGCGCACGGGUGAGUAACGCGUGGAUAUCUGCCUUUUGGUUCGGAAUAACCCCGGGAAACUGGGGCUAAUACCGGAUGGUUCCUACGGGAUAAAGAUUUAUCGCCAAAAGAUGAGUCCGCGUACGAUUAGCUAGUUGGUGAGGUAAUGGCUCACCAAGGCGACGAUCGUUAGCUGGUCUGAGAGGACGAUCAGCCACAUUGGGACUGAGACACGGCCCAAACUCCUACGGGAGGCAGCAGUGGGGAAUAUUGGACAAUGGGCGCAAGCCUGAUCCAGCCAUGCCGCGUGAGUGAUGAAGGCCUUAGGGUUGUAAAGCUCUUUCGCCCGCGACGAUGAUGACGGUAGCGGGAGAAGAAGCCCCGGCUAACUCGUGCCAGCAGCCGC
Molecule: ribosomal RNA, 447 nt
Filed under: uncultured bacterium
Lineage: Bacteria
Description: SSU rRNA
Rfam family: Bacterial small subunit ribosomal RNA
Source: RNAcentral